AAAAUAUGGCCAAGGCUCAUAUAUGCCCGAUAAUACGGUUCGGGCGUCUCUACAUCGGUCCCGUAAAGACCGGUACUAUGGGUGUUUC
This 88-nucleotide non-coding RNA is filed under the name uncultured Angelakisella sp. RNAcentral's name for it is "Purine riboswitch". The stretch from base 16 to 82 matches the Rfam family "Purine riboswitch aptamer", at positions 20 to 86 of the family's 102-position model. Rfam says of the family: Riboswitches are metabolite binding domains within certain messenger RNAs that serve as precision sensors for their corresponding targets. Allosteric rearrangement of mRNA structure is mediated by ligand binding, and this results in modulation of gene expression. Lineage: Bacteria; Bacillati; Bacillota; Clostridia; Eubacteriales; Oscillospiraceae. The record is from RNAcentral.